GAUCAUGGCUCAGAACGAACGCUGGCGGCAGGCUUAACACAUGCAAGUUGAACGGGAUCCUUAGUAUAGCUUGCUAGUAUUAAGGUGAGAGUAGCGCACGGGUGAGUAACACGUGGGAACAUACCUUGUAGUGUGGGAUAACAAUUGGAAACGAUUGAUAAUACCGCAUAAGCCCUGAGGGGGAAAGGAGCAAUUCGCUAUAAGAUUGGCCCGCGGAAGAUUAGGCAGUUGGUGGGGUAAAGGCCUACCAAACCUACGAUCUAUAGCUGGUCUGAGAGGACGAUCAGCCACAUUGGGACUGAGACACGGCCCAAACUCCUACGGGAGGCAGCAGUGAGGAAUAUUGGGCAAUGGGGGCAACCCUGACCCAGCCCAUGCCGCGUGAGUGAAGAAGGUUUUCGAAUUGUAAAGCUCUUUCGGAUGUGAAGAUGAUGACGGUAGCAUCUAAAGAAGCCCCGGCAAACUUCGUGCCAGCCGCAGC
Molecule: ribosomal RNA, 481 nt
Filed under: uncultured bacterium
Lineage: Bacteria
Description: bacterial SSU rRNA
Rfam family: Bacterial small subunit ribosomal RNA
Source: RNAcentral